GAUGAACGCUGGCGGCGUGCCUAAUACAUGCAAGUCGAGCGAACGGACGAGAAGCUUGCUUCUCUGAUGUUAGCGGCGGACGGGUGAGUAACACGUGGAUAACCUACCUAUAAGACUGGGAUAACUUCGGGAAACCGGAGCUAAUACCGGAUAAUAUUUUGAACCGCAUGGUUCAAAAGUGAAAGACGGUCUUGCUGUCACUUAUAGAUGGAUCCGCGCUGCAUUAGCUAGUUGGUAAGGUAACGGCUUACCAAGGCAACGAUGCAUAGCCGACCUGAGAGGGUGAUCGGCCACACUGGAACUGAGACACGGUCCAGACUCCUACGGGAGGCAGCAGUAGGGAAUCUUCCGCAAUGGGCGAAAGCCUGACGGAGCAACGCCGCGUGAGUGAUGAAGGUCUUCGGAUCGUAAACUCUGUUAUUAGGGAAGAACAUAUGUGUAAGUAACUGUGCACAUCUUGACGGUACCUAAUCAGAAAGCCACGGCUAACUACGUGCCAGCAGCCGCGGUAAUACGUAGGUGGGCAGCGUUAUCCGGAAUUUAUGGGCGUAAAGCGCGCGUAGGCGGUUUUUUAGUCUGAUGUGAAAGCCCACGGCUCAACCGUGGAGGGUCAUUGGAAACUGGAAAACUUGAGUGCAGAAGAGGAAAGUGGAAUUCCAUGUGUAGCGGUGAAAUGCGCAGAGAUAUGGAGGAACACCAGUGGCGAAGGCGACUUUCUGGUCUGUAACUGACGCUGAUGUGCGAAAGCGUGGGGAUCAAACAGGAUUAGAUACCCUGGUAGUCCACGCCGUAAACGAUGAGUGCUAAGUGUUAGGGGGUUUCCGCCCCUUAGUGCUGCAGCUAACGCAUUAAGCACUCCGCCUGGGGAGUACGACCGCAAGGUUGAAACUCAAAGGAAUUGACGGGGACCCGCACAAGCGGUGGAGCAUGUGGUUUAAUUCGAAGCAACGCGAAGAACCUUACCAAAUCUUGACAUCCUUUGACAACUCUAGAGAUAGAGCCUUCCCCUUCGGGGGACAAAGUGACAGGUGGUGCAUGGUUGUCGUCAGCUCGUGUCGUGAGAUGUUGGGUUAAGUCCCGCAACGAGCGCAACCCUUAAGCUUAGUUGCCAUCAUUAAGUUGGGCACUCUAAGUUGACUGCCGGUGACAAACCGGAGGAAGGUGGGGAUGACGUCAAAUCAUCAUGCCCCUUAUGAUUUGGGCUACACACGUGCUACAAUGGACAAUACAAAGGGCAGCGAAACCGCGAGGUCAAGCAAAUCCCAUAAAGUUGUUCUCAGUUCGGAUUGUAGUCUGCAACUCGACUACAUGAAGCUGGAAUCGCUAGUAAUCGUAGAUCAGCAUGCUACGGUGAAUACGUUCCCGGGUCU
This 1370-nucleotide ribosomal RNA is filed under the name uncultured bacterium. RNAcentral describes it as "bacterial SSU rRNA". It matches the Rfam family "Bacterial small subunit ribosomal RNA", at positions 28 to 1381 of the family's 1533-position model. The record is from RNAcentral.